RNAcentral lists this ribosomal RNA (948 nucleotides) under uncultured organism. Its description in RNAcentral is "bacterial SSU rRNA". It matches the Rfam family "Bacterial small subunit ribosomal RNA", at positions 501 to 1444 of the family's 1533-position model. The record is from RNAcentral.
CUCCGUGCCAGCAGCCGCGGUAAUACGGAGGUCGCAAGCGUUACUCGGAAUCACUGGGCGUAAAGCGCAUGUAGNCGGACUUACAAGUCAGGUGUGAAAGCCAAUGGCUCAACCAUAGAACUGCACUUGAAACUGUAAGUCUAGAGUUCGGGAGAGGCAGAUGGAAUUUCCGGUGUAGGGGUAAAAUCCGUAGAGAUCGGAAGGAAUACCUAUUGCGAAGGCGAUCUGCUGGAACGCAACUGACGCUCAGAUGCGAAAGCGUGGGUAGCAAACAGGAUUAGAUACCCUGGUAGUCCACGCCCUAAACGAUGGAUGCUAGUUGUUGGGGAGCCAGUCUCUUCAGUAAUGCAGCUAACGCAUUAAGCAUCCCGCCUGGGGAGUACGGUCGCAAGAUUAAAACUCAAAGGAAUAGACGGGGACCCGCACAAGCGGUGGAGCAUGUGGUUUAAUUCGAAGAUACGCGAAGAACCUUACCUGGGCUUGACAUCCUAAGAACUUUGUAGAGAUACAUUGGUGCUAGCUUGCUAGAACUUAGUGACAGGUGCUGCACGGCUGUCGUCAGCUCGUGUCGUGAGAUGUUGGGUUAAGUCCCGCAACGAGCGCAACCCCCGUCCUUAGUUGCUAACGGUUCGGCCGAGAACUCUAAGGAGACUGCCUUCGUAAGGAGGAGGAAGGUGGGGACGACGUCAAGUCAUCAUGGCCCUUAUGCCCAGGGCAACACACGUGCUACGAUGGGGUGUACAGAGAGAAGCAAUACUGCGAAGUGGAGCAAAUCUCUAAAGCAUCUCUUAGUUCGGAUUGCUCUCUGCAACUCGAGAGCAUGAAGCCGGAAUCGCUAGUAAUCGUGAAUCAGCUAUGUCACGGUGAAUACGUUCCCGNGGUCUUGUACUCACCGCCCGUCACACCAUGGGAGUUGCAUUCACCCGAAGCCGGAAUGCUAAAUUGGCU